GGAGGAUCCGAGCGNUAUCCGGACUUANNGGGUNUAAAGGGAGCGUAGGNGGACNGGUAAGNCAGUNGUGAAAGNNNGCGGCNCAACCGUAAAANCGCAGUCGAUACUGUCAGUCUNGAGNACAGUAGAGGNGGGCGGAAUUCGUGGUGUAGCGGUGAAAUGCUUAGAUAUCACGAAGAACUCCGAUCGCGAAGGCAGCUCACUGGACUGCAACUGACACUGAUGCUCGAAAGUGUGGGNAUCAAACAGGAUUAGAUACCCUGGUAGUCCACACAGUAAACGAUGAAUACUCGCUGUUUGCGAUAUACAGUAAGCGGCCAAGCGAAAGCAUUAAGUAUUCCACCUGGGGAGUACGCCGGCAACGGUGAAACUCAAAGGA
This 379-nucleotide ribosomal RNA is filed under the name uncultured bacterium. RNAcentral describes it as "partial 16S ribosomal RNA". It matches the Rfam family "Bacterial small subunit ribosomal RNA", at positions 527 to 908 of the family's 1533-position model. The record is from RNAcentral.